Molecule: long non-coding RNA, 2335 nt
Organism: Mytilus californianus (California mussel)
Lineage: Eukaryota; Metazoa; Mollusca; Bivalvia; Mytilida; Mytilidae
Exons: 3
Source: RefSeq, a predicted model, not a curated record
UGAUACACCUGAUAAAACGAGUUCUCUAUCAUUUGCAAAGUGAAACGUUAAGAUGAGUAUAUGGGUAAAAAUACAAGACUUUAAAUGUCCAGGAAAAAAUUGCAGCAACGAGACUCCAGGGAACUGGGUGUGUGGACAGGAUGAAACGAAUAUGUAUAUGUCUCAAACUGGUUACAUCCGAUGCAAUGUCGCUUCGAGACACUAUUGUUCCAAUGAUUUGAACAGUUGGCACCAUAUUGACAAAAUAAGUAAUUGGCGAUGGGACUGUGGUAUGCAUGGUAGUCAUCCAUUCCAAAGGUACAUGGAAGCAGAUAAGACCGCUUUUUUUCUUUCAAUGUCAAUGGCAUUACAGAUGGUAAAAAACAAAGGCAAAUCAAGAUGGAUAGCAGCUUUGAUUUUAGAGCUCGGAAAACAAUUUGGAGAUGAUGAUUCGGACGACGACGUUAAAUAAUUUUACUGAAAAACGCACAGGAAGCUAGCGGACAUUGUCACAUUUUUUACGAAUGAUUAAACAUUUACUUAAACUUUAAUGUUUAUGCUGCAAUAAUGUUAACAUUGUGAUGUGUGGUUACUUCGACUUAUAUUUUGUGUUGGCCCUAUUAGUGAUUUAUGUAUUGUAUUGUGAGAAUGAUUUGCUGAUUAGUUUAUUACAAUUUCAAAUGAAUUUUAUUUGUUAUAUAUGAUUGCAUUUUGCACAUACAAGUUUCCUAAUCGUGGCUGCGACAUCGAUCAUUACUAUAGUGAAUGUGUGACUUGUCUAAAGUUUGAAUAUGUUAUUAUCGUGAAUAUAAUAAUAAUUACUACUUGACGUUUAACAUGCAUUUUGGCUAUGACACAAGUAAAUUGGAGGCUUUGGUGUAAGCAUAUUUAUUUACAGGUACUAUUUAUAUAUUUAUUUUGUAAUUUGUAAUUGAUGAAAAGUCUAAAAGGCACAGAAAUGAAACAUUUUGAAUGUGCAAUAUCAGUUAUUACAAUGUAUAUUUUAUACAAAAAUUAAUUUGAAUUUUCAAACAAAUUAGAGAAGUUAAAAUAAGGAUGCAAAGAAAAAAAUAAUAAAAAAAACACGUAAGCAAUAUUAUGUUUAAUAUGAGAAAUGUUGCCAUUUGCCUGAAUUGAUUACGUUUAUAAUAUCAUUAUUUAUUCACACUUAAGGUUCGCAAAUAGGAUGUCUUUGUACUCGCAAGUUUUUAGCUUUCAUAGAAGCAACUUGUAUAUGAUACUUUUGUACCAUAACCCUAAUGCAACAUUGUAUAUUUCUAUAUGAAAAUGAGACUUUAUACAUUGGCUAUAUUCGAGGUUUUUUCUUGAUAACCCUCCAUAAUGAACGUUUAAACUCCACAUGAUGAAAAACUAGUUUGUAUAAAUACCUGUCCUUGUGUAGAACUAAAUGACAACAUUAUUUUAAAAGAUACAUUGAUUUAAGGAAUAUCAACUUUGUAUUAAGAAGUUACAAUAUUAGGUUAUGAACAAUUUUUUAAUUUAUCAACGGAAAAUUUUAGAAAAAUAUAUACAAAUCAUGACAGUAUCGAAACACUAAAUACUGGACGGAUCAUAUCCUGAAUAAUCCAACAUAAUGGUUCACAUUUUUUUUUAAAAAUGUUAUCUUUUUUUCUAUUUCAGAAAUUACUUUUACAUUUUGUCGUCUCCAUUUUGUCCUGGGGUUUAUAUUUAAGAAGACACUUUUCAUCCGAUUAUUACAAUUUAAAAAGAUCUCAAACAUGAAUAUACAUUUUCUAUCAUUCCAGUUUGUACAUAUUAAGUACAUAACGAUAGCUGGAAUAUUUUAGCGCGUUGGAUGUUUAUAAAUUGAGUUGUUACCAUGCAACAUAUUUUCAAUGAAUAUAACAAAAUGAAGUCUAAAGAACGAGCGAGUGUGUGCAUAAUAUAUUUAGUGUUCUAUAUUUAUUAUAUAAACGAGUGUUCGAGUUAUUUUCAGUAAAGAUGAAUGUGUCAAUCAUGUAUAUUAUAUAUCAUGUUACCGGUUGGACAUGCUUUCAUGUCGUGUUUAAGGAAUGUGGAAUUUCUUUUUUUUCCCGAUUAGUCAUCUGAAUACAAGGGAUGAGUAAGCAGAAAGGAAUGUUAAAGUUCUAAGAAAAAUGUUCUUUUAAGGAAAUAUAUUUUUUUUGUUAAAACGACAUCUCAUUCCUUAAAUUAUUUUAUAACUAAAAGAUGGAUGGUUCUGAUAAAAAGUACGAUAAAAAUUCAAAAGUAGGAUGAAAAAACAGGUUAUAUAAGGAAGUCGAAACUUUUUGUCAAAAGAUAUGAAACAUUCAAAAUAUUUGUGUAUAGUGCUUACGAAGUAAAAUAAUAAAAGAGUAGUCGUGACACAUCAGUU